GACGAACGCUGGCGGCGUGCUUAACACAUGCAAGUCGAACGAGUGGCGAACGGGUGAGUAAUACGUGGUAACCUGCCCAUUACUGUGGGAUAACCUGCCGAAAGGCAGACUAAUACCGCAUAGUAAUGGAUGGGGAUGCGUCUGAUUAGCUUGUUGGCGGGGUAACGGCCCACCAAGGCGACGGUCUCUAGCUGGUCUGAGAGGAUGAUCAGCCACACUGGGACUGAGACACGGCCCAGACUCCUACGGGAGGCAGCAGUGGGGAAUAUUGCACAAUGGGCGCAAGCCUGAUGCAGCCAUGCCGCGUGUAUGAAGAAGGCCUUAGGGUUGUAAAGUACUUUCAGCGGGGAGGCGUUACCCGCAGAAGAAGCACCGGCUAACUCCGUGCCAGCCGCCGCGGUAAUUC
RNAcentral lists this ribosomal RNA (406 nucleotides) under uncultured bacterium. RNAcentral's name for it is "partial 16S ribosomal RNA". It matches the Rfam family "Bacterial small subunit ribosomal RNA", at positions 28 to 526 of the family's 1533-position model. The record is from RNAcentral.